RNAcentral lists this ribosomal RNA (478 nucleotides) under uncultured bacterium. RNAcentral describes it as "partial 16S ribosomal RNA". It matches the Rfam family "Bacterial small subunit ribosomal RNA", at positions 28 to 523 of the family's 1533-position model. The record is from RNAcentral.
GACGAACGCUGGCGGCGUGCUUAACACAUGCAAGUCGAGCGAUGAAGCUCCUUCGGGAGUGGAUUAGCGGCGGACGGGUGAGUAACACGUGGGUAACCUGCCUCAUAGAGGGGAAUAGCCUUUCGAAAGGAAGAUUAAUACCGCAUAAGAUUGUAGUACCGCAUGGUACAGCAAUUAAAGGAGUAACCCGCUAUGAGAUGGACCCGCGUCGCAUUAGCUAGUUGGUGAGGUAACGGCUCACCAAGGCGGCGAUGCGUAGCCGACCUGAGAGGGUGAUCGGCCACAUUGGGACUGAGACACGGCCCAGACUCCUACGGGAGGCAGCAGUGGGGAAUAUUGCACAAUGGGGGAAACCCUGAUGCAGCAACGCCGCGUGAGUGAUGACGGUCUUCGGAUUGUAAAGCUCUGUCUUUAGGGACGAUAAUGACGGUACCUAAGGAGGAAGCCACGGCUAACUACGUGCCAGCAGCCGCCGUAA